This 1959-nucleotide long non-coding RNA is filed under the name Gallus gallus (chicken). Lineage: Eukaryota; Metazoa; Chordata; Aves; Galliformes; Phasianidae. The record is from RNAcentral.
CCAUGUUGUGAGGCGGCGCCACGUUGUCCGGGGACUCCAUGAGAUGGUGCCGCGUUGUGAGUUUGAAAUAAGUGGAAAACAUGGACCUGUUGGAUGUGGGAUUAUGUUGAAACAGUACAGCAGGAGUCCAAAUGGGAGAGGAAAUCUGUGCACAACCAGUGCCACCACGAGAUAAAUAAGCAGCAGGAACCAGGAGGAGGAGGAUCUGAGGAGCUGUGACCUUGCAUUGCUCUUGCUCUACAUGGCCAACUGCCUGAACUGAACGUAUACCCUUGUAACUCCGGAAUCUGAUUCAAGCAAACCUGCUGCGAUUAGAUUCAGAUCAGUGUGAGAAAAGAUGUCCACACCAUGUUCAUUCCCAUCCCUGUCUUCUCCAGAUAAUGUGCUUCCUUGGAGCUGCCAAGAGAAAACGCAUUCCCACGGUAUCAUCAAAGGAGCUGUGUCCAGCACCAGUUUUUCCUACCAACCAGAUCAACGGGCUGAGUGUGGCAGCUCUGUACAGCAGCUCUCGUGACUCCAGCUGAUACAUUCACAUCAUGAGAAGGUCCGGUAUUGCCGACAACUGGAGAACAGUUGCAGUGAAGUACAACUGGCGCAAUUAAAAGCGACUGAAGAGGUGUGCAACUAAAGCUGCUCAAGUGAAGUUUACCCAUGUAAAAAAAAAUGAAGUUACCAGAAGUGAGUGAAAUACAAAGUCGCACGUCUUAAUGUAAUGAGGUGGACUGAAGGGUGGAUUACACGAAGGACUAUACUUUUAGAGAACAACGAAGUUCUAUACUUCUGUUGCUUGAAAUAUCACCUUCAGUUGCAGCAUAAUCACAGUCCCCAACUGAGCAUCGUGGUCGACGACUACGACCAGCAACCUGUGCUGUCCCAGAGCUGAAACACGGCCAUCAAGGCAAAUUGCAAGCACACAUUUUUGUCCUGUGUUUAGCUCAAAUGAAGUUGUUUUUUUUUGUUUGUUUGUUUUUUUAAAUACACUUUUGUUCUGACUACAGAGGAAGAAGCUGUUCUUUGCUCCAGUACCCUCCCUUAGUUGUGAGAAAGGGGGAAAUAAUUUGUAUAUAUGGGUAAAACUCAAGAUGAAGAUGCAAAUAACAGAAGAAACUCCCAAAUGAAUUAAAUUUUCAUCUGGACCUGAAAUUGUGCUCAAUUUGUAGUUUAUUCAGCUGUGUAUAGAUGCUUGUUUUAGAACAGUUAAAUAUUUUAUUUAAGUUGUUCUAUAUUAAGUAUCAAGAAAAAUAAUCUCUUUAAGCUCUUCAGUUUACAAGAGAAAUGCAAAAUGUUACUGGGUUUUUAUUUCCUUAAAUUGGUACCAUAUGUACUUACCAUUUCCUGCAAUGGUAAGGUUGUGGGUCCUGAAACUGUCCUCGGCACUCUCCAGCCCCAAAGUGGUAUACGCUAGCAAACUGUACUUUGCUCCACUAAAUGUCAAAGAAAAGGCACAUUUUAAGUCAUUUCUGCUUUGUAUUGCGCAGACAGAAAUUAGAGGGAGCCUAGGGAUACCUGAGAUAAAGCACGUGCUUACAGGGACAAGGCAGCAGCUGUCAGUGGCCACGGGCUGCCACCCCCAGCCCCUUCCCACAGAACUGCCCCCCAGCAUGCUCAGCUGAUUCCGACAUCCUCACCUCCUGCCUCCACCCUGCGCAGCACCUCUGGUUCCCUCCCACCCCGUGACUUCCAUUCCAACACCACGGAGCCCCAUCAGCUCAGUCUCUCCAGCUAUCUAUCUGCCACAGGCAAACCCAGACAUAAGGCCUGUGCUUUCCAAGCCUCCUGCACCCCAAGGACACUAAAAGCAUCUCUCCUCUCUACUCAGACGCCAAGUAACUUUUGAUAGGUUUGCAGCUUUUGUUCCUAGGCCUAACUCAAAAAUGAGUUCAAAAAUAUACACUAUAGGCAACAGAAAAACAGAUGAUGAACUUGAUCUGAAAACACAAGUUUCAAAAUUAAAAUCUU